Molecule: long non-coding RNA, 368 nt
Organism: Apis dorsata (giant honeybee)
Lineage: Eukaryota; Metazoa; Arthropoda; Insecta; Hymenoptera; Apidae
Exons: 3
Source: RefSeq, a predicted model, not a curated record
AACUUUUAUCAUAAAAGUGUAAAUUAUCAUUUAAUUGGAAUUUCAAAAGCGGGAUAGCUUCGAAAGUUUCUGCAUAUAUCAUGAAUUAAAAGAUAAUUCAAUAAUAUUCAUACAAAUGUGAUAAUUAGCUGAUUGCUGAAAUUACUUUAGGCGGGAAAAAGGAUUUUCAAUAUGGACGCUAUAACGAUAAUUUGUUUUAUGGAGAAGAGAUUAUUGUGACUACGUGCAAUGUAGUUAUUAGAGUCAGUGUUUACGUAAUAAUGUUUUUAAUAUUUUUUAGAGCACAAUAGCUCUCAUUAAAUUUGAUAAUAAUAGUUUUAUACGAAAUAGAGUCAGUGCUUGUUCGUCGAUUGUACAAUGAUAAACGG